Molecule: transfer RNA, 107 nt
Filed under: Coniochaeta sp. 2T2.1
Lineage: Eukaryota; Fungi; Ascomycota; Sordariomycetes; Coniochaetales; Coniochaetaceae
Rfam family: tRNA
About the family: Transfer RNA (tRNA) molecules are approximately 80 nucleotides in length. Their secondary structure includes four short double-helical elements and three loops (D, anti-codon, and T loops). Further hydrogen bonds mediate the characteristic L-shaped molecular structure. tRNAs have two regions of fundamental functional importance: the anti-codon, which is responsible for specific mRNA codon recognition, and the 3' end, to which the tRNAs corresponding amino acid is attached (by aminoacyl-tRNA synthetases). tRNAs cope with the degeneracy of the genetic code in two manners: having more than one tRNA (with a specific anti-codon) for a particular amino acid; and 'wobble' base-pairing, i.e. permitting non-standard base-pairing at the 3rd anti-codon position.
Source: Rfam by way of RNAcentral
GGUGAGAUGGCCGAGCGGUCUAAGGCGCCACGUUAAGGUCUUCAAAACCUUAAAACAUCUGUUCUCCGUGGUCCGAAAGGGCGUGGGUUCGAAUCCCACUCUCAUCA